UCGAGAAUAUUCGACAAUGGGCGAAAGCCUGAUCGAGCGACGCCGCGUGCAGGAUGAAGGCCCUCGGGUUGUAAACUGCGGUAGUAGGGGAGGAACGCAAGUGACUGUACCCUACGGAAAGUGGUUGGUAACUACGUGCCAGCACCAGCGGUAAUACGUAGACCACAAGCGUUAUCCGGAUUUAUUGGGCGUAAAGAGCAUGUAGGAGGUCCGGUGCGUCUCUGGUUAAAGCCCACCGCCUAACGGUGGAAGUGCCAGAGAUACGAUCGGACUGGAGGAUGUGAGAGGUGCAUGGAACUCACGGUGUAGGGGUGAAAUCCGUUGAUAUCGUGGGGAACACCAAAGGCGAAGGCAGCGCACUGGCCAAAAUCUGACGCUCACACACGAAAGCUAGGGUAGCGAAGAGGAUUAGAUACCCCAGUAGUCCCUGA
Molecule: ribosomal RNA, 431 nt
Filed under: uncultured bacterium
Lineage: Bacteria
Description: bacterial SSU rRNA
Rfam family: Bacterial small subunit ribosomal RNA
Source: RNAcentral